CAAGUGUAUUUGUACUCAAAACAGCACAGAAGCUUUAAAAAAUGACUGCUUAAGUAGAUUUGCUUAUUGUAAAUAGCCCUUAGCACACCUUUCAUUUUAAUAAGCAUUUCUGUGCAGCUUCACAUUGCAUCUUUUACUUAAGUAUUUCAAAUCUCCUUUAAAAGACAUGACUAACCACACGUGGUUUCUCUUCUCUCUAUUCCUCUCUCUCCAUGAAGACUACCACAUUUAAAGCUUGGCCGAAAAGAGUGGGAAGAAAAAGGGGAGUCUAAGCAUAUGUGAUGUUGCCCGUUUCAGUUAGAGAUGAAGCAUGCCUCAUUUUUGGAGCAAAAGGAUCAGAGCUGUCUCCAGCUAUUUUGUGAAACUCAUGGAACGCUCCCCUGCUUCUUGCUAUAGAUAUGUGCCCCAGCCAAGCGCUGCCCUUUCACAGCCAGCUUCCAUGGAAAGGAAACCCAGCCGUGCAGUCAAAAGAGAACCAUCGCUUACUCUAAUUCUGAUAAUCUCCCUGCCUCUAGUCAAGCAGAAAUCUGAGGAUUUAUUAGGGAUGGACUACAAAAGGGAAAACAGUAAGGACAGUGGCCAGUACGGGAUGGUUACGGCAAGCAUACAGUGACAUUUAUUUCAGUAUUUCUUGAGGCUUAUGGAAUCCGCAAUUUAGAGACUUCCCAAGUCACAGUUUACUUGUACAUCCCUGAUAAACUUUUCCUACAUGCAAAUUCAUUCUUACCUAUGGGACAGUUUAAUUAUAUGCUGUGUAAAAGUACUUCCUUUAGUAUGUUCUGAACUUGUCUCUUAAUAAUUUUUUUCUUUUAACCUUCAUUUUCUAUACUGUGAGAGAUGGGAAUUAUUUUUCUCUGCUCACUUUUCUCAUUAUGAUUUAUAUGUGAAAUCUAUACACUUCAUACUCUUCUUCUGCUACCUUCUUUCCAAACUAAAGGCUCCUAGUUUAUUUAACUUCUCCUCAUAGGCAAUGACUAGUCCAUACUGGUCCAUCAGUUGAGUAACAAAGUAAUAGUGUCACCUGUUGAAUGGAUUUCUCAGCACAAGCACAGCAUAAGAGUCAUACAUAUUUAGGAAUGAUAAAUAUUUAUGAGUUGUUUGUUCAGCAGAUGAAUCAAAACAGAUAACAUUUCUGUAUGUAAAAUAUGUC
This 1150-nucleotide long non-coding RNA is filed under the name Struthio camelus australis. RNAcentral's name for it is "lncRNA (ENSSCUG00000011898.1)". Lineage: Eukaryota; Metazoa; Chordata; Aves; Struthioniformes; Struthionidae. The record is from RNAcentral.